RNAcentral lists this ribosomal RNA (497 nucleotides) under uncultured bacterium. RNAcentral describes it as "partial 16S ribosomal RNA". It matches the Rfam family "Bacterial small subunit ribosomal RNA", at positions 28 to 507 of the family's 1533-position model. The record is from RNAcentral.
GAUGAACGCUGGCGGCGUGCCUAAUACAUGCAAGUCGAGCGAACAGACGAGGAGCUUGCUUUUCUGACGUUAGCGGCGGACGGGUGAGUAACACGUGGAUAACCUACCUAUAAGACUGGGAUAACUUCGGGAAACCGGAGCUAAUACCGGAUAAUAUAUUGAACCGCAUGGUUCAAUAGUGAAAGACGGUUUUGCUGUCACUUAUAGAUGGAUCCGCGCCGCAUUAGCUAGUUGGUAAGGUAACGGCUUACCAAGGCGACGAUGCGUAGCCGACCUGAGAGGGUGAUCGGCCACACUGGAACUGAGACACGGUCCAGACUCCUACGGGAGGCAGCAGUAGGGAAUCUUCCGCAAUGGGCGAAAGCCUGACGGAGCAACGCCGCGUGAGUGAUGAAGGUCUUCGGAUCGUAAAACUCUGUUAUUAGGGAAGAACAAAUGUGUAAGUAACUAUGCACGUCUUGACGGUACCUAAUCAGAAAGCCACGGCUAACUACGUG